GACGUAGGGGGCCAGCGUUGUUCGGAAUUACUGGGUGUAAAGGGUUCGUAGGCGGUGCGGCAAGUCGGGAGUGAAAUCUCUGGGCUUAACCCAGAGGCUGCUUCCGAAACUGCUGUGCUUGAGUGUGGGAGAGGCGCGUGGAAUUGCAGGUGUAGCGGUGAAAUGCGUAGAUAUCUGCAGGAACACCCGUGGCGAAAGCGGCGCGCUGGACCACUACUGACGCUGAGUGAACGAAAGCUAGGGGAGCAAACAGG
Molecule: ribosomal RNA, 254 nt
Filed under: uncultured bacterium
Lineage: Bacteria
Description: partial 16S ribosomal RNA
Rfam family: Bacterial small subunit ribosomal RNA
Source: RNAcentral